GACAGAGGGUGCGAACGUUGUUCGGAAUUACUGGGCGCAAAGCGCAUGUAGGCGGCAGCGCAAGUCGGGCGUGAAAUCCCACGGCUCAACCGUGGAAGUGCACUCGAAACUGCGCAGCUAGAGUCCUGGAGAGGAAGGUGGAAUGCUUGGUGUAGAGGUGAAAUUCGUAGAUAUCAAGCGGAACACCGGUGGCGAAGGCGGCCUUCUGGACAGUGACUGACGCUGAGAUGCGAAAGCGUGGGGAGCAAACAGG
This 253-nucleotide ribosomal RNA is filed under the name uncultured bacterium. RNAcentral's name for it is "partial 16S ribosomal RNA". It matches the Rfam family "Bacterial small subunit ribosomal RNA", at positions 524 to 776 of the family's 1533-position model. The record is from RNAcentral.